RNAcentral lists this ribosomal RNA (536 nucleotides) under uncultured bacterium. Its description in RNAcentral is "bacterial SSU rRNA". It matches the Rfam family "Bacterial small subunit ribosomal RNA", at positions 777 to 1325 of the family's 1533-position model. The record is from RNAcentral.
AAUAGAACCCUGGUAGUCCACGCCGUAAACGAUGAGUGCUAAGUGUUAGAGGGUUUCCGCCCUUUAGUGCUGCAGCUAACGCAUUAAGCACUCCGCCUGGGGAGUACGGCCGCAAGGCUGAAACUCAAAGGAAUUGACGGGGGCCCGCACAAGCGGUGGAGCAUGUGGUUUAAUUCGAAGCAACGCGAAGAACCUUACCAGGUCUUGACAUCCUCUGCCAACCCUAGAGAUAGGGCGUUCCCUUUCGGGGGACAGAGUGACAGGUGGUGCAUGGUUGUCGUCAGCUCGUGUCGUGAGAUGUUGGGUUAAGUCCCGCAACGAGCGCAACCCUUAUGUUUAGUUGGAUUUUUCUAAACAGACUGCCCUGGUAACAGGGAGGAAGGAGGGGAUGAUGUCAGGUCAGUAUUGCCCUUACACCUGGGGCUACAAACACGCUACAAUGGCCGGUACAAAGGGCUGCUAAGUCGCGAGACGGAGCUAAUCCCAUCAAAGCCGGUCUCAGUUCGGAUUGCAGGCUGAAACUCGCCUGCAUGAAG